RNAcentral lists this ribosomal RNA (253 nucleotides) under uncultured microorganism. RNAcentral's name for it is "partial 16S ribosomal RNA". It matches the Rfam family "Bacterial small subunit ribosomal RNA", at positions 524 to 776 of the family's 1533-position model. The record is from RNAcentral.
UACGGAGGGGGCAAGCGUUGUUCGGAGUUACUGGGCGUAAAGCGCGCGUAGGCGGUGCGGUAAGUCAGGGGUUAAAGGCUGCAGCUCAACUGCAGUAAGGCCUUUGAUACUAUCGUGCUAGAGUGUCAGAGAGGAUGGCGGAAUUCCCGGUGUAGCGGUGAAAUGCGUAGAUAUAGGGAGGAACACCGGUUGCGAAGGCGGCUACCUGGACGGUAACUGACGCUGAGGUGCGAGAGCGUGGGGAGCAAACAGG